Molecule: long non-coding RNA, 310 nt
Filed under: Brachypodium distachyon (stiff brome)
Lineage: Eukaryota; Viridiplantae; Streptophyta; Magnoliopsida; Poales; Poaceae
Description: long non-coding RNA (BDIS_LNC005111)
Source: RNAcentral
GGAUGGCGGUGGCGGUGCAGUACCCGGCGAUGGCGGCGGCGGUGCUGUAGCCGGCGAUGGCGCUGGUCAAGGUGCUGUACCCGGGGACGGCGCUGGUCAAGGUGCUGUGCAGGAUGGCGCUGGGCAUGUCAGCGAGAAGAAAUGCAAGUAGCAAGUAAGCUCAUCAUCUGAACGCAUGAUUUGUUGGAUGAUUUGUGGAUGUUGCGUGUAUUCUCCAUGAAUCAAUAAUCGAGUCUUGGUUUAUGCAAUAAAGUGGUGAUUUAUCUUUUGUCUAAAGCUAUUUGAGUGCCCACUGCACAAUUUAGUGGGG